Long non-coding RNA from Pan paniscus (pygmy chimpanzee), 3043 nucleotides. Lineage: Eukaryota; Metazoa; Chordata; Mammalia; Primates; Hominidae. The record is from Ensembl.
AGGAAGGGCCCGCUGCUCCCGGGCCACCCCGGGACACAUGAGUUAGGGGCAAAAUUUAAUGCCGCAACAAAGCGACUCAUUUUUUUUGGUAACUGAGGCUGUUCCAGAACUUCUUACUCACUCUCGGCGCCGCCCCCGCGCUUCCAGGCCCCGGACCCGCCGCAAACACCGCUGGGCUUGGACUCAAACCGCGGUCCGGUCCCACCCGGUCUGGUCCAGUCCCGUUGGAGGCGGCGGUUGGGUUCAGCGUCAGGCGCGCGCCCUCUGCUGGCCGUUGGGAAGCGGCGAGGGAAGCGCUGAGCUCGCGGCCGAGCGGUGGUCGCUCGCCCCCUCGCGGGCUCUCCCGGAAUCGCUGACAUUCUCCGUCGCUUGCUCUCUGCUCCUGGCUGGGGAUGCUCCAUUUACAUGGAUUGGAAUAGACCUAAGCACCACAAUUACAAAAUCAGUUAUACGUUAAACAAAGCCUCAAAACACCAGGUAACCCAUGUUCUAAAUCACUGUUUGGGAGACAGCCAAACAGCCAUGGCUCCAAGGCGUAUCCCAGGAAAGGGAGCAGGCAAGGCUGGAGCAGAGCGUCCCCAGCCAGGAGCAGAGAGCAAGCGACGGAGAAUGUCAGCGAUUCCGGGAGAGCCCGCGAGGGGGCGAGCGACCACCGCUCGGCCGCGAGCUCAGCGCUUCCCUCGCCGCUUCCCAACGGCCAGCAGAGGGCGCGCGCCUGACGCUGAACCCAACCGCCGCCUCCAACGGGACUGGACCAGACCGGGUGGGACCGGACCGCGGUUUGAGUCCAAGCCCAGCGGUGUUUGCGGCGGGUCCGGGGCCUGGAAGCGCGGGGGCGGCGCCGAGAACGAAACUGGAAAAUGGCCUUCAUUGGAAAAGCCCCAGUCCUCGGGGAGCAGAUCCCCCAUCUCUGGCAGUGCAGUGCGCCUGGGAGCUGUCUGGAACAUUCCGCAAGUGCCGUGUUUGCCUGAAAGGACAUUGGCAGCCAGCAGGGGCGGCGGCUGGUCCUCUAGAUGGGCACGAAUGCCACUGGCAGGCAAUGGGGCAGACUCCAUGGAAAGAUGCUUCCCUUCCUCAAGCAGGCCCAGAUCAGCUCUGCACACGGUGCUGACCUCAAAUUCAGCCCUAGAGGGGCCUGUCUCUGCCCUGAGUGAGUAUUGAGGUGCAGGCUUCUUCCCCUUUGUUCUGUCCAUUUCCAAAAAUGUGAACACACACCUCCAACAUGUUUCUGUGUAUAUUAUUGUGUGCAUAGAUACUACCAUUGUAAAAUAUUAUGCAGAUUAAUAAUGCACUAUUGUAUUGAAAAUUUCAAAAGAAAUGUGUAAUAAACAUUUAAAAUUAAUAUUUUUGUUCUCAGUUGUUAAGGGAUAUAAUCAGGUUCUCUGCAAAAUACUGUGGUUUAAAAAUAACAAAGAUAAUAUGGGUAUUAAUAACAUUUCAUCAACAGGAAUGAUGGAGAAUGCUUCAGUUUUUCUGUAGGGAUUUAAUUUUUGAAUUGGGAUUUUGGGUAAGAUAUCUUUAGGAUAAAAUAUGUGCACACAAGAAAAUAGCAUAUUUUUCCUAAAAAUUUGUUUUUAUGCAUUAUUAUAUACACAUAAAAAUAGUCUUAUUUUGGCUGGGCACAGUGGCUCACGCCUGUAAUCCAAGCACUUUGGGAGGCCGAGGCAGGUAGAUCACCUGAGUUCAGGAGUUGGAGAACAGCCUGGUCAACAUGGUGAAACCCCAUCUCUAUUGAAAAUAGAAAAAACAUUAGAUGAGCAUGGGGCGGGCACCCAUAAUCCCAGCUACUUGGGAGGCUGAGGCAGGAGAAUCGCUUGAACCCGGGAGGUGGAGGUUGCAGUGAGCCAAGAUAGCACUGUUGCACUCCAGCCUGGGCAAUAAGAGCAAAAUUCCAUCUUAAAAAAAAGAAAGAAGUAGUUUUAUUUCAAAAUUAGAAGCAAAAAGAAAAUAAAUAUAUCCUGCUAUAGAGACUUGUCUUCGGAUGCUUAUGACCUCCUGUAAAUGCAGUUCCUCCCUCAUCCCCGUCUAAGUAUCCUUCCUCAGCCUCCUCAAAUUGGAGCCUGCGUCAUCAGAACCACGUGGAAGGCUCUAAAAACAUUGACAGCAUAGAGGGAGACCCUAUCUCCAAAAAACAAAACAAAAAACCCUUUAUUUUUAAUGGGAUAAAGAGUUAAAUAGUAGUUAGAUAUUCAAGUUUUGUAUGCUCCAUGAACAAACAAACAAACAAAAACACACGACACUUGAUGGAGACUGCAGGCCUGUGUUCUGUACCUGGCUUUGAGGGAGUGAUUGGAUGGGAUGGUGUGCUUCCUGUGCCUGUCCUGUCCGCUCUGGGUUUAAUUUACUCUCAGUUGGCCAUUGUUCUUUCCAUGAUCUUAUUUUCCAGGCAUUGUCCUAGGACCCAAGGUCUCUUACAUUCUUACAUGUAACAGUAAGAAUUCUUACAAUAAGAAUUGAGAGAGUAGAAGCUAUUUUUCCUGUGACUUAGAACUUUGGGGGAAGUUUAAAGGGAGAUACUGCAUGUAUUCUGUGUCAUCAUCUAAUUUCUACAGACCCUUCUUAAGGAACUGACAUUAAUGUUGUACUUAAUUCUUCAGGCAGUGUGGGCCAAAAAUAAAGCCAAAUAUACAUUUAGUCUAAAAGUACAAGUCAUAUUAUUUCCAUCAGUGGAUUCCUAUAAUCCUAUGAAUAAAAUCUUAUACAUUGGCUUAUAAGAGACCCAUUGAUUCACUAUUAAUCACUAUAUUUGUGUUCUUACUGGGCUGAAAAAAAAUUGAAAUUUAACCUGAUGUGUUUCCUGUGCUUUGAAAUCUUACUUUUUUUUCAUGGUUCUCUCGCCUAUUUCUUACCCCACUGCACACAUAGAAGAAAGAAUAUCAAUAGCGGCAGUUCUUAUCAAUCAGAAAACAGGUUAAAAGCCAUUCUGGUUCUUGGGCUAAGUCUCAGUAGCAGAGAGAAAUAGAAGAGGAAAGGUAUGGGAUAGAAGUGUAUUCACUACCACUCUCUCUGAUCAAACCUUGGAGGGGAGCAAUGGAGUCCCAGA